Triticum dicoccoides is the source of this 364-nucleotide long non-coding RNA. RefSeq lists it as uncharacterized. NCBI's taxonomy places the organism in Eukaryota, Viridiplantae, Streptophyta, Magnoliopsida, Poales, Poaceae. The record is from RefSeq and is a predicted model, not a curated record. The transcript has 3 exons.
GCCGGAUGGGGCACGGGCGCCAGCGGCGGAGCCGGUUGGGGUGCGGCGGCCAACAGGCAUGAGAUUCAAUCGCGAACGAUGAUUAAUCGGGCCAUUAAUGCCAAUCGAUGCUCCGGGAAGCUGGUCCUUUCCUACUCUGCUCAUUUUCGCAAACCACAGUCCAAAAGCAAGGUGAUGGGUGUUGCUUAGGUUCCAGCUCUGUUUGGUUUAAGCUUCUCUCCAGGUUGGAAUUCUAGCGACGUACUGCUUGGUAUCUUUGGUUCUUCCAGUUGAUCCAAUGGCUAAUGGACAACCCAGACUGGCCGCUGCUCCUUUCCCACUCUCCUCACUCUUGCAAACCAAUCUCCAGCAGCGAUGGGUAAUG